AACUUUUUUAUUUUGAUUAACAAUUAUCGUCAAAGUCAUGGUUAAUUAAAUUGUGCCCGAAUUUUCUUGUGUCAUCGAACCUUUAAUUUUCUCAUUGAACGCUAUUUUUUCUAAUUACGAUUUGGUUGCUUUGUGAUUUAACAUCGUACGUCUAUUGUAAUCAUUUCUGGUAUCUCUAGUUUAGCACCAAUGAAGAGCAAGUGAAUAACUUCAUGGUUUCUGUGUGUGGUUAUGAAGAAAAGUAAAACAAAACGAAUGAAAGAAGACGAUGAAAUGGUGCGAUUGAGGUCCGUUGUUUUUGUUAACUUGUUCUGAGAUGUGAGUCGGGUAGUUUUGAAAUGAAGUCGGUGUACUUGUGUAUUAUAUUAAAGCUGAUUAAUGUUUUUGUAAAAUUUAGCAUUAAUUGAAGUGUAUAAUUGGUGAAAACCCAAAGGACUUAAAAGAGUUUUGGGCGGUUAUAGAGAAAAUGCAUCAUGGUAUAGCUUCUCAUCAUUUAGGGAGGAAACAAAGUUGAGGUUAAUCCAAAAUUGGUUCAUGGAUGACCCACAAAUCGGAAUCUUUGAGAUAUUGCCUGCAUUUCAUUAUGAUUUGAUCUUUUGUUUGUUCUUAUGGAGAAAAUAUUGCCACUCCCUUUUGCUUUAACAAGGGGAUUGGUCCCAAAAGCAAGUAGCUGUUCAUCAGAAGGCUGUACACGAUAUGCCCAUAACUCAUUUUAUUUACUUCUUAUCUGGGAUUUUUUUCUUUUUACUAGAACAAGAAUUGAGGGCAUAUUAAAUUACAUGGUUUGGAUCGAAAGUGAGAAUUGAGAAUGAAAAUUAAAAAUCUAGUAUUUUCUUACCAUGAUUGAGGGUAUUUAUAGGUUAAAAAACAGAUUUUUUUUUUUUUCUCAAAAUAUGUUAAAAUUUUCAAAAAGAAUAAACAAUUUUAUUAACAUCUUAUAUGAAAUUUGAUUUUACUAAAUAAUAA
RNAcentral lists this long non-coding RNA (966 nucleotides) under Carica papaya (papaya). RNAcentral's name for it is "long non-coding RNA (CPAP_LNC012239)". Lineage: Eukaryota; Viridiplantae; Streptophyta; Magnoliopsida; Brassicales; Caricaceae. The record is from RNAcentral.